Molecule: ribosomal RNA, 503 nt
Filed under: uncultured bacterium
Lineage: Bacteria
Description: partial 16S ribosomal RNA
Rfam family: Bacterial small subunit ribosomal RNA
Source: RNAcentral
GACGAACGCUGGCGGCGUGCUUAACACAUGCAAGUCGAACGGUGAAGCGCCUUCCUUUUUGGUUGGUGUGGAUGAGUGGCGAACGGGUGAGUAACACGUGAGUAACCUGCCCCCUUCUUCUGGAUAACCGCAUGAAAGUGUGGCUAAUACGGGAUAUUCUGCGCCUGCUGCAUGGUGGGUGUGGGAAAGAUUGUGCCUUUGGGUGUUUUCGGUGGGGGAUGGGCUCGCGGCCUAUCAGCUUGUUGGUGGGGUGAUGGCCUACCAAGGCGGUGACGGGUAGCCGGCCUGAGAGGGUGGACGGUCACACUGGGACUGAGACACGGCCCAGACUCCUACGGGAGGCAGCAGUGGGGAAUAUUGCACAAUGGGCGCAAGCCUGAUGCAGCGACGCCGCGUGAGGGAUGGAGGCCUUCGGGUUGUGAACCUCUUUCGCCAGUGAAGCAGGCCUGCUCCUUGUGGGUGGGUUGACGGUAGCUGGAUAAGAAGCGCCGGCUAACUACGUG